GCCAGCGUAGCUCAGUUGGUAGAGCUACUGAUUUGUAAUCAGUGGGCCGGGGGUUCGAGUCCCUCCGCUGGCUCCA
This 76-nucleotide transfer RNA is filed under the name Desulfosarcina sp. Its description in RNAcentral is "tRNA-Thr". It matches the Rfam family "tRNA". Rfam says of the family: Transfer RNA (tRNA) molecules are approximately 80 nucleotides in length. Their secondary structure includes four short double-helical elements and three loops (D, anti-codon, and T loops). Further hydrogen bonds mediate the characteristic L-shaped molecular structure. tRNAs have two regions of fundamental functional importance: the anti-codon, which is responsible for specific mRNA codon recognition, and the 3' end, to which the tRNAs corresponding amino acid is attached (by aminoacyl-tRNA synthetases). tRNAs cope with the degeneracy of the genetic code in two manners: having more than one tRNA (with a specific anti-codon) for a particular amino acid; and 'wobble' base-pairing, i.e. permitting non-standard base-pairing at the 3rd anti-codon position. Lineage: Bacteria; Pseudomonadati; Thermodesulfobacteriota; Desulfobacteria; Desulfobacterales; Desulfosarcinaceae. The record is from RNAcentral.